This 373-nucleotide ribosomal RNA is filed under the name uncultured organism. RNAcentral describes it as "partial 16S ribosomal RNA". It matches the Rfam family "Bacterial small subunit ribosomal RNA", at positions 527 to 896 of the family's 1533-position model. The record is from RNAcentral.
AGAGGGUGCAAGCGUUAAUCGGAAUUACUGGGCGUAAAGGGCGCGUAGGUGGAUACUCAAGUUGGAUGUGAAAUUCCCGGGGCUUAACCUGGGGGCGGCCAUUCAAAACUGGGUAUCUAGAGUACAGUAGAGGGUAGUGGAAUUUCCGGUGUAGCGGUGAAAUGCGUAGAUAUCGGAAGGAACACCAGUGGCGAAGGCGACUACCUGGACUGAUACUGACACUGAUGAGCGAAAGCAUGGGUAGCGAACAGGAUUAGAUACCCUGGUAGUCCAUGCUGUAAACGAUGAAUACUAGCUGUUAGAAGUCUUAGAACUUUUAGUAGCGGAGCUGACGCAUUAAGUAUUCCGCCUGGGGAGUACGGCCGCAAGGCUA